UUUACCCGCNGGAAUUUAAGCAUAUAAGUAGGCGGUGGAAAAUGAACCAAAUGGGAUUCCUUAAGUAAUUGCGAAUGAACAAGGAAAUGCUCAGCUUGAAAAAUGGGGCCUUUGGCUUUGAAUUGUAAUUUUGAAAUGUAUUGCCAAUGGAGGCGCAGGUGCAAGCCUAUUGAAAGAAAGCGUCAACGAGGGUGAAAUUCCUUUUUGUCAUUUGCAGUCCUCCGUGCACGGUAUAUAUUUGACGAGUCACACUCCUCGGCAUUGGAAUGCAAAGUGGGUGGUAAAUUCCAUGUAAAGGUAAAUAUAUUAUUGAGACUGAUAGCAAACAAGUACCAUGAGGGAAAUAUGAAAAGGACUUUGAAAAGGGAAUUAAAAGAGUCUGCAUUUGCUGAACAGAAAGCAAACAGAAUUGAUGUGCUUGGUUGGAUUGUUGUGCCCACUCUGUCAUUUAUGUCGGAUGUGGGUGCGAUGGUUCUUACCUUGAAUGUCAGCUUCUAUUUCUGCAAAUCAUUACCCUUGCACAUGAAUGGUAAUUUGCCUGCGGGUAUUGGAAUGUAUGUGUUUGCAAUGAUUUGUGAUUUGAUGCAUGUGGUUGGUGGACUUUGUAUGUGCUGUUUUGCCAACGGGGAAGGGACUCUUCCUUGAGCACUGCAAGCCCUUGCACAUUGAUGCUGGCAAAAUGUUUCUGCUUGACCCGUCUUGAAACACGGACCAAGGAGUCUAACAGAUGUGCAAGUGCGUGGGUGGCAAACCUACUAACACAAUGAAAGUAUUGGCUGGGAUAUUUGCACCAGCAGCCGACUGAUUAGCAGACAGAGGUUUGAGUUUGAGCAUAUCUAUUAGGACCCGAAAGAUGGUGAACUAUGCCUGAACAGAAUGAAUUCAGAGGAAACUCUGAUGGAGGUUCGUAUCGAUACUGACGUCNAAUCCCUUUCGUAAA
Molecule: ribosomal RNA, 940 nt
Filed under: Alexandrium minutum
Lineage: Eukaryota; Dinophyceae; Gonyaulacales; Pyrocystaceae
Description: partial large subunit ribosomal RNA
Rfam family: Eukaryotic large subunit ribosomal RNA
Source: RNAcentral